RNAcentral lists this ribosomal RNA (440 nucleotides) under uncultured bacterium. Its description in RNAcentral is "partial 16S ribosomal RNA". It matches the Rfam family "Bacterial small subunit ribosomal RNA", at positions 338 to 795 of the family's 1533-position model. The record is from RNAcentral.
CCUACGGGAGGCAGCAGUGGGGGAUAUUGCACAAUGGGGGAAACCCUGAUGCAGCGACGCCGCGUGAGUGAAGAAGUAUUUCGGUAUGUAAAGCUCUAUCAGCAGGGAAGAAAAUGACAGUACCUGACCAAGAAGCCCCGACUAACUACGUGCCAGCAGCCGCGGUAAUACGUAGGGGGCGAGCGUUAUCCGGAUUUACUGGGUGUAAAGGGAGCGUAGACGGCGAGACAAGUCUGGAGUGAAAGGCCGGGGCCCAACCCCGGGACUGGUCUUGAAACUGGCUGUCUGGAGUACAGGAGAGGUAAGUGGAAUUCCUGGUGUAGCGGUGAAAUGCUUAGAUAUUAGGAGGAACACCGGUGGCGAAGGCAGCUUACUGGACUGUAACUGACGUUGAGGCUCGAAAGUGUGGGGAGCAAACAGGAUUAGAUACCCGGGUAGUC